Trematomus bernacchii (emerald rockcod) is the source of this 218-nucleotide long non-coding RNA. RefSeq lists it as uncharacterized. The transcript has 3 exons. The record is from RefSeq and is a predicted model, not a curated record. NCBI's taxonomy places the organism in Eukaryota, Metazoa, Chordata, Actinopteri, Perciformes, Nototheniidae.
CUUGGGACAACAUAAAAGAUGGGAUGCAUCUCACAGUAGAAAUUUCAAAGGUGCUUUUGUUGCUUGUGUACUACGAUAUGAUGAAUGACCGCUGCACUCUGAACAUGAUGGAAUGUGAAUCGGAGCGAGAGAUAGCAAACCUAACUGGUUGCUAUGUAAUGGAGAGUGACGGCUGCGUUUAUCUGAACAAAGAACUUGAUGCCUAUUUAGGAAGAAGA